RNAcentral lists this ribosomal RNA (436 nucleotides) under uncultured bacterium. RNAcentral describes it as "bacterial SSU rRNA". It matches the Rfam family "Bacterial small subunit ribosomal RNA", at positions 954 to 1392 of the family's 1533-position model. The record is from RNAcentral.
AUGGGAACGCGAAGAACCUUACCUAGACUUGACAUCUCCUGAAUAGUGUAGAGAUACAUGAAGCCCUUCGGGGCAGGAAGACAGGUGGCGCAUGGUUGUCGUCAGCUCGUGUCGUGAGAUGUUGGGUUAAGUCCCGCAACGAGCGCAACCCUUAUUACUAGUUGCUACCAUUAAGUUGAGCACUCUAGUGAGACUGCCCGGGUUAACCGGGAGGAAGGCGGGGAUGACGUCAAAUCAUCAUGCCCCUUAUGUCUAGGGCAACACACGUGCUACAAUGGUGAGUACAGAUAGAUGCGAUACCGCAAGGUGGAGCCAAACUCUAAAACUCAUCCCAGUUCGGAUUGUAGGCUGCAACUCGCCUACAUGAAGUUGGAGUUGCUAGUAAUCGCGAAUCAGAAUGUCGCGGUGAAUACGUUCCCGGGUCUUGUACACACCG